RNAcentral lists this unclassified non-coding RNA (399 nucleotides) under Hevea brasiliensis (rubber tree). The record is from RNAcentral. Lineage: Eukaryota; Viridiplantae; Streptophyta; Magnoliopsida; Malpighiales; Euphorbiaceae.
CGAUUCGAUUUUUCAUCCAUUUCGAUUUGAUUCGAUUUCUAAAAUAUAUAAUUCGAUUUUCAUGAUUUGAUUUAGUUUGAUUUGGUUCGGUUCAGUUUGAACCGAAUAAUCAACCCUAUCUAUCUUCUCUUCUUCAGUUAUGUUUUUCAGCUCUCACUUUUUCCCAUCCUUUUACCCUAAUUUCUCUCAUUCCUAUGAUAGUCCUCUUUUUCCAGUUACGCUAUUCUUCUCUUUUUUUGCACCACUCCCAUAUGAAUUUAGCAUAAUAGACAAGAUGUUCUAAACAACUUCCCCCUUGACUUCUACACAUAAAGAAAAAGUUCAUAUUAUGUGCUCGUCACAACAGUAGACAUCAAAAUCCACAUUUAGCACUUACUUCUGAAUAGUUUCCUUCGCUUC